RNAcentral lists this ribosomal RNA (497 nucleotides) under uncultured bacterium. Its description in RNAcentral is "partial 16S ribosomal RNA". It matches the Rfam family "Bacterial small subunit ribosomal RNA", at positions 29 to 508 of the family's 1533-position model. The record is from RNAcentral.
AUGAACGCUGGCGGCGUGCCUAAUACAUGCAAGUCGAGCGAACAGACGAGGAGCUUGCUCCUCUGACGUUAGCGGCGGACGGGUGAGUAGCACGUGGAUAACCUACCUAUAAGACUGGGAUAACUUCGGGAAACCGGAGCUAAUACCGGAUAAUAUAUUGAACCGCAUGGUUCAAUAGUGAAAGACGGUUUUGCUGUCACUUAUAGAUGGAUCCGCGCCGCAUUAGCUAGUUGGUAAGGUAACGGCUUACCAAGGCAACGAUGCGUAGCCGACCUGAGAGGGUGAUCGGCCACACUGGAACUGAGACACGGGCCAGACUCCUACGGGAGGCAGCAGUAGGGAAUCUUCCGCAAUGGGCGAAAGCCUGACGGAGCAACGCCGCGUGAGUGAUGAAGGUCUUCGGAUCGUAAAACUCUGUUAUUAGGGAAGAACAAAUGUGUAAGUAACUAUGCACGUCUUGACGGUACCUAAUCAGAAAGCCACGGCUAACUACGUGC